AUUGAACGCUGGCGGAAUGCUUUACACAUGCAAGUCGAACGGCAGCACGGACUUCGGUCUGGUGGCGAGUGGCGAACGGGUGAGUAAUAUAUCGGAACGUAUCCAAUAAUGGGGGAUAACUAAUCGAAAGGUUGGCUAAUACCGCAUACGCCCUACGGGGGAAAGCUAGGGACCUUCGGGCCUGGCGUUAAUGGAGCGGCUGAUAUCUGAUUAGCUAGUUGGUGAGGUAAAGGGACUCACCAAGGCGACGAUCAGUAGCUGGUCUGAGAGGACGACCAGCACACUGGAACUGAGACACGGUCCAGACUCCUACGGAGGCAGCAGUGGGGAAUUUUGGUACAAUGGGGGCGAACCCUGAUCCAGCAAUGCCGCGUGAGUGAAGAAGGCC
RNAcentral lists this ribosomal RNA (388 nucleotides) under uncultured bacterium. RNAcentral's name for it is "bacterial SSU rRNA". It matches the Rfam family "Bacterial small subunit ribosomal RNA", at positions 30 to 416 of the family's 1533-position model. The record is from RNAcentral.